Molecule: small nuclear RNA, 102 nt
Filed under: Myotis brandtii (Brandt's bat)
Lineage: Eukaryota; Metazoa; Chordata; Mammalia; Chiroptera; Vespertilionidae
Source: RNAcentral
GUGCUUGCUUCAGCAGCACAUAUACUAAAAUGGGAACAAUAGAGAUUAACACGGCCCCUGAGCAAGGAUGACACACACAUUCAUGAAGCGUUCCAUAAAAUA